AGCUUGUGCUUUCGCAGUUAGCAGCCCAUAUUUGUUCGUACUUAAUAGGUUUGAGAAACGUCUUUGGGCUGAGGCCCCAUGGACUCUGCUCAUAAGGUAUUCUUCUGCUAUUAAUAACUUUGUUAAAGCCCUCCCUGGAUUGGGCCUAUACCUACUAAAUUAACUUAAAAGACUUCUUAUAGAAAGGGGAAACUGUAAAAAUAGUCACCUAACUAUUCCUUUCAUUCUAUUUUGGUCACUCAACUAUUAAUAUUUUUUAUUUAGUCACUAAACUUUUCAAAAUUAAAUAUAUUAGUUACUCUAGCUGAUGUGGGCCUUUUUAUUAGUCUAGUAAUAAAAUUAUCUCUCUAAUAUUUACACAUUCUAUUAAUUUGAUCCUAAAUAUAAAAAAUUCAACAAAUUUAGCCCUCAAUGUUUAUGAAAUUUUUCAUUUUAGUUCUAAUUCAAAAAAAAACUCAAUAAAUUUGGCCCUCAACAUUUACAAAACCUGUCAAUUUAGUCUUAACUCUAAAAAUUAAAAAAUAUUUUUUUUAAAUCAUUUUUAGCCCUGUAUAACCAAUUGACUAACCCCUGUGAGAUAUUAAAAUAAGAAAAGGAGUACCCUCUUUCAAGACUUGAUAGAUUUUUUAAAUAUCUCACAGGUUAUCCAAUGGUUUAUAAAAGACUAAUAAUAUUUUUAAUUUUUUUUUUUAAUUUUUAGAGUUAGGACUAAAUUAAUAGAUUUUGUAAAUGUUGAGGGCCAAAUUUAUUUUUGUAUAAUUAGAACUAAAACGACCAAUUUUGUAAACAUUGAGAGCUAAAUUUAUCUUUUUAUAUUUAGGACCAAAUUAAUAGAACAUGUAAACAUUAAAGGGCUAAUUUUUGUUAAUAGCCCACAUCGGCUUAGAGUGCCUAAAAUAUUUAAUUUCGAAAAGUUUAGUAACUAAAUUGAAAAAAUUAAUAGUUGGGUGAUCAAAAUAGAACGAAAGGCAUAGUUAAGUGAUCAUUUUUGUAGUUCACCCUAUAAAAAUUUUACUAGGAUCAACACCAAUGACUUAAGUGAUUUAGAUAUGGGUGACAAAAUCUAAACUGCUCAAUGGAUUCGAAUCGAUCCGUUUCACUUUUUUAAAAGUGGAUGGGAGACGAGAUACAUGGAAUUUUUUUUUUUUGAACAAUGGAUAUAGAGUGACUACGACAAUUGUUUGUCCCACUUAUCCCACUCCACUAAAAUAGAAUUAUUAUAUUAUUCUUUAGAAAAAUAGUAAAAAUACAAUUAAAAUAUAGUUUUUAACAUUAAUUAAAAUAUAUUUUUAAUUCCCAUAAAAAUUUAUGGGAAAAUCCAUUAAUUAUAUUUUAUUGAAAAUAAUUUAGUGCAUGAUUUAAAAUUAAACAAUUCAAAAUUUAAAAUAUAUAAAAUUAGUGACAGAAAUGAAAAGAAUCGCACAAACAUGCUUGAAAUAAAUUAACUACUCAAAUCCACAAUCAACAUUCAAAGAAUAACUUAGAUAGUCUAAUAGGAUCAUUUUAAUAUACUAAAUACAAUGGUGACCUGAAGUCAAAUGUAGUUGUUAUUUCAGUAUAUUUUCACACUUAAGGAACUUGUUUUCUAGCACUUUUAUUAUUAAUUAUUACAUUUUCAGUAUUUAGUAGUUUAAUAGUAAAAGUUAAUAAAAUAAAUGUUUUUAACACGUUUGUUAGUGUUUGUAACCUAUUAGGCCGACACGGGCCUUAGUUAGUUCUAAUUGUGCAAUUAACUGUGUAGGAUGAUGAAUUAUAAGUCCAAUGGAUGUAGGAUCAAGGAACGAGUGAUGCAUAAGCUUUCCAAGCUGCUAAAACACGACACGAAUCCAAGAGUGCAUAAAAUCACUAUCGUGUCACGCCAUAGAUGGUGUAUGGCACAACAUAAGGUCGACAUGAUGCCCAAGCAUUCCGGGGUUAUUUUCGUCCACACAAUCAACUUUAUACAAAGACCUUGGACGUGCCAAAUACCUAAUUCGGGCUGCCAACACUCCUAUAAAUAAAACCUUAUGGGUUUGAUGUAACUAAGUCGUCUUAGACGCAUCCGAAAAACCCUCAUAGUUUAGAAGUAGGAUUUAAAUCAAGUUUUCCUUUGUUUUUCGUAAACUCUUUGUUCUUCUCUCUUAGAAUCGAUUUUGAUCCAAGAGUUCUUUUAUUCAAUCGAAGUAUUUCAGUUUUAUUUUCCUUUACAAGCGACAAUUCUCUUUAUCCCA
RNAcentral lists this long non-coding RNA (2210 nucleotides) under Gossypium barbadense (sea-island cotton). Its description in RNAcentral is "long non-coding RNA (GBAR_LNC018034)". Lineage: Eukaryota; Viridiplantae; Streptophyta; Magnoliopsida; Malvales; Malvaceae. The record is from RNAcentral.